Molecule: ribosomal RNA, 245 nt
Filed under: uncultured bacterium
Lineage: Bacteria
Description: partial 16S ribosomal RNA
Rfam family: Bacterial small subunit ribosomal RNA
Source: RNAcentral
GACAGAGGGUGCAAACGUUGUUCGGAAUUACUGGGCGUAAAGCGCGUGUAGGCAGCAUGCCAAGUCGGAUGUGAAAGCCCUGGGCUCAACCUGGGAAGAGCAUUCGAUACUGUCAAGCUAGAGUCACGGAGAGGAUGGUGGAACUCUCGGUGUAGAGGUGAAAUUCGUAGAUAUCGAGAAGAACACCUGUGGCGAAGGCGGCCAUCUGGACGUAGACUGACGCUGAGACGCGAAAGCGUGGGGAG